UACAGAGGUCCCGAGCGUUGUUCGGAUUCACUGGGCGUAAAGGGUGCGUAGGUGGCGGGGAAAGUCGGAUGUGAAAUCUCGGAGCUUAACUCCGAAACUGCAUUCGAUACUGCCGUGCUUGAGGACUGGAGAGGAGACUGGAAUUUACGGUGUAGCGGUGAAAUGCGUAGAUAUCGUAAGGAAGACCAGUGGCGAAGGCGGGUCUCUGGACAGUUCCUGACGCUGAGGCACGAAGGCCAGGGGAGCAAACGGG
RNAcentral lists this ribosomal RNA (253 nucleotides) under uncultured bacterium. RNAcentral's name for it is "partial 16S ribosomal RNA". It matches the Rfam family "Bacterial small subunit ribosomal RNA", at positions 524 to 776 of the family's 1533-position model. The record is from RNAcentral.